GGGCCCGCACAAGCGGUGGAGCAUGUGGUUUAAUUCGAUGAUACGCGAGGAACCUUACCAGGGCUUAAAUGUAGAACGACCGAUUUGGAAACAAGUCUUCUCUUUGAGCGGUCUACAAGGUGCUGCAUGGUUGUCGUCAGCUCGUGCCGUGAGGUGUCGGGUUAAGUCCCUUAACGAGCGCAACCCCUAUCUCUAGUUGCCAGCGGAUAAUGCCGGGGACUCUAGAGAAACUGCCCGUGCAAACGGUGAGGAAGGUGGGGAUGACGUCAAAUCAUCACGGCCCUUACGUCCUGGGCUACACACGUGCUACAAUGGUCGGUACAGAGGGCAGCUACCACGUGAGUGGAUGCAAAUCUCGAAAGCCGAUCUCAGUUCGGAUCGCAGUCUGCAACUCGACUGCGUG
Molecule: ribosomal RNA, 403 nt
Filed under: uncultured bacterium
Lineage: Bacteria
Description: bacterial SSU rRNA
Rfam family: Bacterial small subunit ribosomal RNA
Source: RNAcentral